Molecule: ribosomal RNA, 468 nt
Filed under: uncultured bacterium
Lineage: Bacteria
Description: partial 16S ribosomal RNA
Rfam family: Bacterial small subunit ribosomal RNA
Source: RNAcentral
GACGAACGCUGGCGGCGUGCUUAACACAUGCAAGUCGAACGGAAAGGCCCUGCUUUUGUGGGGUGCUCGAGUGGCGAACGGGUGAGUAACACGUGAGUAACCUGCCCUUGACUUUGGGAUAACUUCAGGAAACUGGGGCUAAUACCGGAUAGGAGCUCCUGCUGCAUGGAGGGGGUUGGAAAGUUUCGGCGGUUGGGGAUGGACUCGCGGCUUAUCAGCUUGUUGGUGGGGUAGUGGCUUACCAAGGCUUUGACGGGUAGCCGGCCUGAGAGGGUGACCGGCCACAUUGGGUCUGCGAUACGGCCCAGACUCCUACGGGAGGCAGCAGUGGAGAAUAUUGCACAAUGGGCGGAAGCCUGAUGCAGCAACGCCGCGUGCGGGAUGACGGCCUUCGGGUUGUAAACCGCUUUCGCCUGUGACGAAGCGUGAGUGACUGUAAUGGGUAAAGAAGCACCGGCUAACUACGUG